AGGCAGCAGUGGGGAAUUUUGGACAAUGGGGGAAACCCUGAUCCAGCCAUACCGCGUGAGUGAAGAAGGCCUUCGGGUUGUAAAGCUCUUUCAGCCGGAAAGAAAACGCACGGGUUAAUACCUUGUGUGGAUGACGGUACCGGAAGAAGAAGCACCGGCUAACUACGUGCCAGCAGCCGCGGUAAUACGUAGGGUGCGAGCGUUAAUCGGAAUUACUGGGCGUAAAGCGUGCGCAGGCGGCUUUUUAAGCCAGAUGUGAAAUCCCCGGGCUUAACCUGGGAACUGCAUUUGGAACUGGAAGGCUAGAGUGUAGCAGAGGGGGGUAGAAUUCCACGUGUAGCAGUGAAAUGCGUAGAUAUGUGGAGGAAUACCGAUGGCGAAGGCAGCCCCCUGGGCUAACACUGACGCUCAUGCACGAAAGCGUGGGGAGCAAACAGGAUUAGAUACCCUGGUAGUCCACGCCCUAAACGAUGUCAACUAGGUGUUGGGGAUAGGAGACCUCUUCUAGUACC
This 512-nucleotide ribosomal RNA is filed under the name uncultured beta proteobacterium. Its description in RNAcentral is "bacterial SSU rRNA". It matches the Rfam family "Bacterial small subunit ribosomal RNA", at positions 346 to 847 of the family's 1533-position model. The record is from RNAcentral. Lineage: Bacteria; Pseudomonadati; Pseudomonadota; Betaproteobacteria.